This 433-nucleotide ribosomal RNA is filed under the name uncultured bacterium. RNAcentral describes it as "partial 16S ribosomal RNA". It matches the Rfam family "Bacterial small subunit ribosomal RNA", at positions 29 to 507 of the family's 1533-position model. The record is from RNAcentral.
AACGAACGCUGUCGGCAUGCCUAACACAUGCAAGUCGAACGAGACCUUCGGGUCUAGUGGCGCACGGGUGCGUAACGCGUGGGAACCUGCCCUUAGGUUCGGAAUAACUCCCCGAAAGGGGUGCUAAUACCGGAUAAUGUCUUCGGACCAAAGAUUUAUCGCCUUUGGAUGUGCCCGCGUUGGAUUAGCUAGUUGGUAGGGUAAAAGCCUACCAAGGCGACGAUCCAUAGCUGGUCUGAGAGGAUGAUCAGCCACACUGGGACUGAGACACGGCCCAGACUCCUACGGGAGGCAGAAGUGGGGAAUAUUGGACAAUGGGCGAAAGCCUGAUCCAGCCAUGCCGCGUGAGUGAUGAAGGCCUUAGGGUUGUAAAGCUCUUUUACACGGGAUGAUAAUGACAGUACCGGGAGAAUAAGCUCCGGCUAACUCCGUG